RNAcentral lists this ribosomal RNA (206 nucleotides) under Flavobacteriales bacterium. RNAcentral describes it as "partial 16S ribosomal RNA". It matches the Rfam family "Bacterial small subunit ribosomal RNA", at positions 1320 to 1533 of the family's 1533-position model. Lineage: Bacteria; Pseudomonadati; Bacteroidota; Flavobacteriia; Flavobacteriales. The record is from RNAcentral.
GUGAAGCUGGAAUCGCUAGUAAUCGCAUAUCAGCCAUGAUGCGGUGAAUACGUUCCCGGGCCUUGUACACACCGCCCGUCAAGCCAUGGAAGCCGGGGGUGCCUGAAGUUGGUGACCGCAAGGAGCUGCCUAGGGCAAAACCGGUGACUGGGGCUAAGUCGUAACAAGGUAGCCGUACCGGAAGGUGCGGCUGGAACAUCUCCUUU